GAUCCUGGCUCAGGGCGAACGCUGGCGGCGUGCUUAACACAUGCAAGUCGAACGAAGAGCGAUGGAAGCUUGCUUCUAUCAAUCUUAGUGGCGAACGGGUGAGUAACGCGUAAUCAACCUGCCCUUCAGAGGGGGACGAAUAGUUGGUAAACGACUGCUAAUACCGCAUACGAUCCAACCUCGGCAUCGAGGAUGGAUGAAAGGUGGCCUCUAUUUAUAAGCUAUCACUGAAGGAGGGGGAUUG
This 244-nucleotide ribosomal RNA is filed under the name uncultured bacterium. Its description in RNAcentral is "partial 16S ribosomal RNA". It matches the Rfam family "Bacterial small subunit ribosomal RNA", at positions 15 to 233 of the family's 1533-position model. The record is from RNAcentral.